GCUAUAACUGCUGCUUUCAUCUUGAGCAGUCUUGCCAUGUCAUGCCACGGUACAUUAAACCGAAAAAUAGCUUAUUAAAUCAAGUGUGUGGAAUACAGUUCUACUAAAUGAGCUACAAUAAGUACAACCGUAACAAAUAUUGUUCCCCGCGCCACGGUUGCUGCGGGUGCCUACCCAGCAUUGACGCGAAAGUCGGGGAGCCGAGCACAGUGUAUUGACCAGCAUGUUCAAGAAGCAGCCAGUGUUUCAGCGGGGGAAAAGGAUAAUGGGAGAAAGAUGAGAAGGAAAACAAUAGCAAAGCGCAUUUUCGACCUCGAAUAUGAAGAAGAGGAGGAGGAAGACCCUAAAUAUGAAGACUUUGGCAUCACGACAUCGCACAGCCAGCCUCCAUGUGUACUAGUGUCAGACAACCCCAGUGUCGAACGCAUUGAGGAUGGCGACUUCCUGGCAGAGGGUCCCGGAGGCCUACAGUCACGCUCGAAGGCUGACCUGGUUGCCAUGGUGCUGAGCAUGCAGCGAGAGAUGGACAACCUGAGGGAGCAAAUCAGAUGCCUCACAGCGUGUGGGAAGUUGGCACGUAACCUGGAGACCCUGAUCGAGAGGACGGAGGUGUGGUCGAGCAGCACGGACCGGAGAACUACCUCUCCCAGCAUGCCUGAGAUCCUGGUGAGGAGUGGUGCCAUGACAACGUCGGCCCUGCUGGCCUCUCCAGGGGUGCUGAACGGGUGCUGGGCGGCCAAACUAGAGCCCCCCCACCCCCACCAGAAUGGAUACCCUCCGGGGUCUCAUGAGGGGGGUUCCCAGAUCAACGGACCACCCCUCUAUCAGGAGUUCAUCACUGCGGAGCUGCUUGACCGCUGUAACACGGGGACCACUGCCCAGAAACUGACCAAUGACCUGCUCCGGGGCCUCUAUGAGAGGGACUGCCUGGCCUCUCACUCCAUCUCCGGCAUCGUCAACAACAAGAGGGGCCAACCCAAGCCUGCCCUGCCUGCAGACGAGAUCCAGGCAAUACUGAGAGCGGUGCAGCACUACUUCCCAGGGAAGACGGACUCGGAGAUCAAGGGCUACAUCCGCCAGAAGCUGCAGAACGAAGCCAAGCGGCUCCGCAAGAAGCCUCACCUGGCCGUGAAGGUGGAGCCAGAGGCCGGGUCAGAGGGGGCGGAGAGUACUUUCUACAUCUAAGGGGAGUGAAGUGCUCCACCCCUGUCCAGGUUAAAGUGCAAUUAUGGGAGGGAGACUCACAUAAUAACUGCUGUGAGAGGGAACCAAAAUGGAGCAGCCUUAUCAACACCAGUCUAGUCUAUCUGUUUGUCUGUCCAUUCCCAGCCAUGUCUCUGGUCCGGGAGAGAAAUAGGCUAGUGAGGGAGGAGUCUAUUUGUCUGACAACGUGAUCAUUCCAGGGGAAGUAUUAGGGACUCCGUGUCUGAUCGAGACUAGUUACUGCUCAGGUGAAGUUAGAUGAUACUGUAGCUUAUUCUUCCUCUGCCCUCUGGCAUCGUUCUCAAGCCUCAGCUAGCCAGCCAGCAGUAGUAGGCCUAGUAGAUGGCAAGUGAUUUGUAUCCAAGUUUCGUACUCUUGUUUCUCUGAAGGAGGUGGCAGUCAGUCGGUGCUCUGCAGGGAAGUCGACAACAUAGCCGUCAGUGAAGCUGCGCUGCACUCUGUGUCACUUCAGUUUGAUUUACAGUGUUGUCAUUGACCUCGUGAAAUGAACCUAGCCUUAGUAUUGAAUCAAUUACAAUGUUGCUGAAUAAAAAAUGAUUUUGUUUUUCCCCAAAGCAUCAUUGUGCUUUUUUUUACACUUAAAAAAAACCAUUAUUCUGUCAGAACUUGACGAAACUAGAACUGAUACUUACACGUCAUGUUAUCAUAGCAGUAAUACCCUCAAGACAUUUUAGAAAUAUCUUCGUUUUUAUAUCUAUGGUAUCUAAUAAAACAUAACAUUGAAAUGAUUUUAAAAUGAA
Oncorhynchus tshawytscha (Chinook salmon) is the source of this 1964-nucleotide long non-coding RNA. Lineage: Eukaryota; Metazoa; Chordata; Actinopteri; Salmoniformes; Salmonidae. The record is from Ensembl.